CUACGGGAGGCAGCAGUGGGGAAUUUUGGACAAUGGGCGCAAGCCUGAUCCAGCCAUGCCGCGUGCAGGAUGAAGGCCUUCGGGUUGUAAACUGCUUUUGUACGGAACGAAAAAGCCUUCUCUAAUAAAGGGGGUGAAUGACGGUACCGUAAGAAUAAGCACCGGCUAACUACGUGCCAGCAGCCGCGGUAAUACGUAGGGUGCAAGCGUUAAUCGGAAUUACUGGGCGUAAAGCGUGCGCAGGCGGUUAUGUAAGACAGAGGUGAAAUCCCCGGGCUCAACCUGGGAACUGCCUUUGUGACUGCAUAGCUGGAGUGCGGCAGAGGGGGAUGGAAUUCCGCGUGUAGCAGUGAAAUGCGUAGAUAUGCGGAGGAACACCGAUGGCGAAGGCAAUCCCCUGGGCCUGCACUGACGCUCAUGCACGAAAGCGUGGGGAGCAAACAGGAUUAGAUACCCUGGUAGUCCACGCCCUAAACGAUGUCAACUGGUUGUUGGGUCUUCACUGACUCAGUAACGAAGCUAACGCGUGAAGUG
This 534-nucleotide ribosomal RNA is filed under the name uncultured bacterium. It matches the Rfam family "Bacterial small subunit ribosomal RNA", at positions 339 to 866 of the family's 1533-position model. The record is from RNAcentral.